RNAcentral lists this ribosomal RNA (123 nucleotides) under Muraltia mitior. RNAcentral's name for it is "partial 18S ribosomal RNA". It matches the Rfam family "Eukaryotic small subunit ribosomal RNA", at positions 1713 to 1831 of the family's 1831-position model. The record is from RNAcentral. Lineage: Eukaryota; Viridiplantae; Streptophyta; Magnoliopsida; Fabales; Polygalaceae.
GAUCGCGGCGACGUGGGCGGUUCGCUGCCCGCGACGUCAUGAGAAGUCCACUGAACCUUAUCAUUUAGAGGAAGGAGAAGCCCUAACAAGGUUUCCGUAGGUGAACCUGCGGAAGGAUCAUUG